This is a long non-coding RNA of Bubalus bubalis (water buffalo), 936 nucleotides long. RefSeq lists it as uncharacterized. The record is from RefSeq and is a predicted model, not a curated record. The transcript has 2 exons. Lineage: Eukaryota; Metazoa; Chordata; Mammalia; Artiodactyla; Bovidae.
AAAUUCAAGAAUUCAGACCACAACAGAACUAAUUGAUAAACGAGCCCCAAAAGCCAGAGAGUCGACUCAGCUACAUUAAUUUAGUGAAUGGUUAUCUUGAUGCCAUGCUCCCUCCCUUCCUCUCGUUCUUAUAAUUAUGCUCUAAAUAAGCACAGGAGAGGAAGAAAUAAAGCACUAUUAACACCAGAUAAUGGUCCUUGAAGGCAGAAUUUCAUAAACCAUUAUCUUAUACAGCUUGCUAACUUAUUAUCUUUCCAAAUCACAGAGGGCUGGCUUUCUCUCCUAGCCUUUUCUCUCAAGUAAGCCUCCUUGGCCGUGGAAGGCCGCAUAGCCACACAAGCUGAAAUCCCUGAACGCUCGUAGUAACUGUAACUGUUCUGACUCUUCUGCCUCAGGAAGACAAAGAGCUAAUUUGUUCCUUAAAAAAAAAUUAAUUAUGAAGCCUUUCAAGGAGACCCCAUAAUUGAACUUAGCCAACAGAUCAUUUGCAACGAGGAUGUGGCAGAAAGCAAAAGCUUUUCUUCCAGGAAAUAGGUCAUCUGUAAUAGAAGAUGAAGUCCAGACUACACUUCCCAGGUCCCUUUAUAACCAGGAUAAACGCAUAUGACUUAAAUUCCACCAAUCAGAAGCCUCUGGGCAAGACAAAGCUGCAGGAGUGAGCACCAUAAGAUGGCAACUGCUCCCUAGUUAUGUGGAUUGACUGGAAGGCACAUGGAGUGACAAGGUUGUUUCUUCUGGAUCACUGUGAUGGAAUUUCCUCCAAAUGUGAACGUCGUAGGCGUGGGCAGAGGCAGGGGCAGCCUUGAUGCAUCCCCUAAAAGCGCUCCAAAUAACUGUCAGGCACUGUAUGGGCUGUGUUGUUCAUGGCCCUGCUGUCUGGCUGGUUAGGAGCCAAACCUGAGUCUUGCCCUCCCGGAGAGUCCACGAACUACCUAA